AGUGAACGCUGGCGGUAGGCCUAACACAUGCAAGUCGAACGGCAGCACAGUAAGAGCUUGCUCUUACGGGUGGCGAGUGGCGGACGGGUGAGGAAUACAUCGGAAUCUACUUUUUCGUGGGGGAUAACGUAGAGAAACUUACGCUAAUACCGCAUACGACCUACGGGUGAAAGCAGGGGAUCUUCGGACCUUGCGCGAUUGAAUGAGCCGAUGUCGGAUUAGCUAGUUGGCGGGGUAAAGGCCCACCAAGGCGACGAUCCGUAGCUGGUCUGAGAGGAUGAUCAGCCACACUGGAACUGAGACACGGUCCAGACUCCUACGGGAGGCAGCAGUGGGGAAUAUUGGACAAUGGGCGCAAGCCUGAUCCAGCCAUACCGCGUGGGUGAAGAAGGCCUUCGGGUUGUAAAGCCCUUUUGUUGGGAAAGAAAAGCAGCAGGUUAAUACCCCGCUGUUCUGACGGUACCCAAAGAAUAAGCACCGGCUAACUUCGU
RNAcentral lists this ribosomal RNA (491 nucleotides) under uncultured bacterium. Its description in RNAcentral is "partial 16S ribosomal RNA". It matches the Rfam family "Bacterial small subunit ribosomal RNA", at positions 29 to 506 of the family's 1533-position model. The record is from RNAcentral.